GAAACCGAGUCUGAAUAGGGCGAAUUAGUAUCAUGACGUAGACCCGAAACCAUGUGACCUACCCAUGAGCAGGUUGAAGGUGCGGUAAGACGCACUGGAGGACCGAACCAGGGCACGUUAAAAAGUGCUUGGAUGACUUGUGGGUAGCGGAGAAAUUCCAAACGAACUUGGAGAUAGCUGGUUCUCUCCGAAAUAGCUUUAGGGCUAGCCUCGGAUGAUGAAUAUUGGAGGUAGAGCACUGUUUGAUCUAGGGGUCCAUCUAGGAUUACCGAAAUCUGAUAAACUCCGAAUGCCAAAUAUUUUAAUCCGGGAGUCAAACUGCGAGUGAUAAGAUCCGUAGUUGAAAGGGAAACAGCCCAGACCACCAGCUAAGGUCCCAAAGUUUCAGUUAAGUGGAAAAGGAUGUGGGGUUGCACAGACAACUAGGAUGUUAGCUUAGAAGCAGCUAUUCAUUCAAAGAGUGCGUAAUAGCUCACUAGUCGAGUGACCCUGCGCCGAAAAUGUACCGGGGCUAAACAUAUUACCGAAGCUGUGGAUACCUUUAUAGGUAUGGUAGGAGAGCGUUCUAUGUGUGAAGAAGGUGUACCGUGAGGAGUGCUGGAACGCAUAGAAGUGAGAAUGCCGGUAUGAGUAGCGAAAGACAGGUGAGAAUCCUGUCCACCGUAAGACUAAGGUUUCCAGGGGAAGGCUCGUCCGCCCUGGGUUAGUCGGGACCUAAGGAGAGACCGAAAGGUGUAUCCGAUGGACAACAGGUUGAUAUUCCUGUACUAGAGUAUGUAGUGAUGGAGGGACGCAGU
This 797-nucleotide ribosomal RNA is filed under the name Leptocylindrus danicus. RNAcentral describes it as "partial Bacterial large subunit ribosomal RNA". It matches the Rfam family "Bacterial large subunit ribosomal RNA", at positions 673 to 1478 of the family's 2925-position model. Lineage: Eukaryota; Bacillariophyta; Leptocylindrophyceae; Leptocylindrales; Leptocylindraceae. The record is from RNAcentral.